AAAAAAGGCAAACAAUUAUGAAAACUGAUUUAAUAAACAAAACAAUAAGAAACAUACCCCAUUAAAAACUUCUUAUGAAACAUAGAUUUAAUUGAAUGCAUACACAGGAAAGUGUCAGUUUUCGUGCAAUUAUAGCAUAUGCAGGAAGAAUCAGAUGAUCUCAGGGACUAGAACAAGUGAAAUGGGACAAAAACACCUCACACAGAUUUGUUUGCAUAGGGAUUGGGCUCAGUAAUUACAUCUUGAGAGGACAUCUCAUCACUGGGAACCCAUGCAGCCCUGCAGCUCUCAGAUAUGGGAUGUCUCAGAGUCACCACUAUAAUACUGACAGAGGAAAGCAGAUGCUUGAGGAGAAAGAAGCGAGAAGAGGCUAACGACACAGAUGUGAAGAGGCAGUGUGGUUAUUCCCUCCACAAGUACUGGAUGCUGGUGGGCAGAAACUGUGAAGGAGGAAGAGCCAAAGAGCAAUGCUGGGAUGAUAACAGAUCACUGUGGGAUGGCUCUACCUGGUGGCCGUGGGCUUGCCCAGGACGGGGACAAAAGGAAAAGAUCCUUCUGCUGCUGUCUUAUCUAACAUUGCAGAGUGCAGAGGGCACUCAAUAAGCUCCUUACUCCACCAGCCGUGUCAGGCUGUAGCAGCUUGCAGAGAGCCCUGGAGAUCCUGAGCACAACCUGCUGAGGUGUUUGCCAUCACGCCUGCUUUCCUGCCAGUUGUCCUCAGGUCCAUGCAACGAGGGCUGCAGCUGGUGGGGAGCCACACGCAGCCUUGCAGGGAGAUCUGGAGGUGCAGAGGGCUCCUGAGCGGCCACACCAGCGCUGGAGAUGGCUGCAAAAAGCGUGAUUUUCAGCUCUGAUGCUCGUUCCCUUUGUUUACCAUCAACACAAAAAUUAAAUGAGGUGCAACAGCAAAGCAUCAUAAAAAUACCAGUGCUGAGUCUCCUGAUUUUUCUCCCAAGCAGGCAUCUGGAUUAGCAUGUGUCUCUGCAGAGCACAAAGCCAUACUGCUCUUGCAUGGGGACUGGGUAAUCCCAAUACUACUGGCUAGUGACCAGGAAUGAUGCGGGAAUGAUUAGAAAACAUCUGCUCCCCCGCCGUGUACUGCACUAUCUGCUUUCCAUCUGGUUUGGCUGGACAUAACUUUUACUAUAAAUGUCUUGUGAAUUGGUCCCUUUGGGAGUCAGCUCCGUUUUAGAAGUAUAUGACAAGUGAUGGAGGGAAAAGGGAUAAAUAAAUCUGCUGUGGUGACUGCA
This 1250-nucleotide long non-coding RNA is filed under the name Anser cygnoides (Swan goose). Its description in RNAcentral is "lncRNA (ENSACDG00005006734.1)". The record is from RNAcentral. Lineage: Eukaryota; Metazoa; Chordata; Aves; Anseriformes; Anatidae.